RNAcentral lists this transfer RNA (65 nucleotides) under Lissemys scutata (Burmese flap-shelled turtle). Its description in RNAcentral is "tRNA-Cys". The record is from RNAcentral. Lineage: Eukaryota; Metazoa; Chordata; Testudines; Trionychidae.
GGCCUUAUAGUGAAGUUCACACCAAAUUGCAAAUUUGGGAAUAUACUUAGCUGGUAUUUUGGCCU